Molecule: long non-coding RNA, 960 nt
Filed under: Homo sapiens (human)
Lineage: Eukaryota; Metazoa; Chordata; Mammalia; Primates; Hominidae
Description: non-protein coding lnc-NLRP2-1:1
Source: RNAcentral
AUCAGGCUGCACUCUGGCCCACAUCCUGGCUGCUGUGUAUCACGUGGCUCUAGACACUGCACUUUUGCCUCCUCAUCAUUGCUGUAGAUAGGAUUUCUGACAGCAGGGUCAUUAGACGAAUUUUUUUUUUUUUUUGAGACGGAGUCUCGCUCUGUCGCCCAGGCUGGAGGGCAGUGGCGCAAUCUCUGCUCACUGCAAGCUCCGCCUCCCGGGUUCACACAAUUCUCCUGCCUCAGCCUCCCGAAUAGCUGGGACUACAGGUGCCUGCAACCAUGCCUGGCUAAUUUUUUUUGUAUUUUUAGUAGAGACGCGGUUUCACCAUGUUAGCCAGGAUGGUCUCGAUCUCCUGACCUCGUGAUCCUCCCGCCUAGGCCUCCCAAAGUGCUGGGAUUACAGGCGUGAGCCACCGCGCCCGGCCCCAUUAGACAAAUUUGUAUCUGCACGGUUCCUACAGAUAAACUCUGGGACAUUAGAAUUAUAAGGCUUUUGUUUAAGGAUGGUUUCAGAUGUUUUUCAGACCUUGAAUUCCAGCCAAAUAGCUGACACUAACCAGUUUGAAGACCCCAGUGAGGAAUGGGAUCAGCAUGAGAACACUGCGUCUUCAUGCCCCUGUCUCCGCCAGCAGUCAGCAUGGCCACACUCUGGCCCACACCAAAACACUUAAAAACCCUAGCCCCGGCCGGGUGCAGAGGCUCACACCUGUAACUCCAGCACUUUGGGAGGCCAAGGCAGGUGAAUCACCUGAGGUCAAGAGUUCAAGACCAGCCUGGCCAACAUAGUGAAACCCCGUUUCUACUAAAAACACAAAAAAUUAGUCGGGCGUGGUAGCGGGUGCCUGUAACCCCAGCUACUCAGGAGGCUGAGGCAAGAGAAUUACUUGAACCUGGGAGGCGGAGGUUGCAGUGAGCAAAGAUCCUGCCACUGCACUCCAGCCUGGGUGACAAAGCAAAACUCCAUCUC